Molecule: long non-coding RNA, 2044 nt
Filed under: Macaca fascicularis (crab-eating macaque)
Lineage: Eukaryota; Metazoa; Chordata; Mammalia; Primates; Cercopithecidae
Description: lncRNA (ENSMFAG00000046712.2)
Source: RNAcentral
CUCGCUUCCUUUUGUUUUCGUGGUAGUUGAAUUCCUAAAAAUUUCAGUAUAUAUUAAAAUGAUAUAAAAUAUACUUUGUUUAUAUGCAUAUAAUGCAAUAUGUUUCUUGGCUUGGGUUAUUAUUAAGCUCUUCACAACCAUAAGAAAUCCCUAUGAAACAUUAAAAAUUUGAGCAGGCUAUAAUUCUUCAAUGUGUGAGACUGUACAACUCAUUGCAGAUCCAGACUUAUAAACAGUUUUAGGAUGUCUUAAUCAUGGUGACAAUUAAAAAGAAAACCUCCCCUACAGAUUUCUAAAAUGUUCCCUAGGGGGUAAUACUAUUUAUAAAGAGAACCACUGUUCCAUUACACAGCCAAGAAAAACGGAAACAUUUUCUGGCUUGGGUAGUAUCUGAAUGGGGAAUUCUCUGUUCCUGCUGCCUUACUUCUUCCCACAGAUGAAUGCUGUGGUGGCAUAAAAAUACAGGAAAGACAUCACCUUCUCUAUGGAGUUUGUCUGCUGUCAGAAACUAUAACAUGUUGAAAACCUGGGGUAUUUUAUCCCUAGAAUUUAUUUCUACCAGAAAGUUACCACUUUAUAUAUUCUGCCAACAAGCUUGCUUGCAAAAGAAGAAGCCACUAUUAUUCCUGAGUCAGUGGCAUGAACACAUGGACUGCAGAGAUAACAGAAGUAAGAUUUGAUGAUUGACUUCCUUGUGUCAAAUUAUGUUCUAAAGUGGCAGUUUCCUGUGAUUCUUAUUCUUACUGAUUUUUUGAACACUAGCAAUGACUUCCCUGAUCUUGCUUUAUCACUCAUCCCAAAGAUUUGGUAACUUUCCAAUCUCUGUAUUACAUCCCUUUCAGUUUGAAAUCUCAAGCAAUUUCUGUUUUUCUAAUCUACUUCUGACCGAUAUGCAGAAUUUCAACAGCUGCCCAAGGUCUCACAGUUAAUCAGAUUUGAAUCCAGAUCUGUCCAGCUUUUGACUAUAUGAAUUGGUGAGUUCUGUAUCUUUCUUCUGACCAUUGUGGGUUGUUUUACAUUCAUAAAUGGUGAGUAGCAUGUUUGGAGUUCUGUAGGGGGAAGAGACUAUACCUCUAUAUCUAAAUCUAAUCUAUGUAGUACUCAUAUCACUUUGUGUUUCCUUAGACUGAUUUGGAGAAUUCUGAGGCAAAUUAAAAUAUAUAGUUACAAGGAAACAAGAAAGAACUAUCUGAAGAUUUGAAUUACUCCUUUUGUUGUUUUUCAUAGCCAUGGGUUAAAGAGGGAGGAUAGUAGAGAUUAGCAAGAGGAAAACAAGAGAUUUGUGAUUUGGAGUGACACAACUAUUGAUCCAGUUAUAGCCACCCAUCCCUGCAUUUGUAUGUUUGGGAGAGUAUUUUUGAAAAUAUUAAAUUCUAGUCAUUGUCAAUAUUUGUAGUAUAAUGUAAAUAUUAUCUAGAAGGGGCUGAUUUGUGUAAAAUAUUUAGUUUGAUUCAGGGAGAAUAAAUAACAAAUCACAUCAUUGUUGCUACCAUUCAUCUUAUCAAAGUUAACAAUUAAAUUUAGAAACAUGCUCAUUCAUACAUUAUUGACAUUUCAGACAAUAUAUUUUAUUUUCUUUUUUUUUUUUUUUUUUUUUUUAAUUAAUUUAUUAUUAUUAUACUUUAAGUUGUAGGGUACAUGUGCAUAACGUGCAGGUUUGUUACAUAUGUAUACUUGUGCCUUGUUGCUGUGCUGCACCCAUCAACUCGUCAUUUACAUCAGGUAUAACUCCCAAUGCAAUCCCUCCCCCCUCCCCCCUCCCCUUCCCCCCCUCCCCCUCCCAUGAUAGGCCCCGGUGUGUGAUGUUCCCCUUCCUGAGUCCGAGUGAUCUCAUUGUUCAGUUCCCACCUAUGAGUGAGAACAUGCGGUGUUUGGUUUUCUGUUAUUUUCUUAUAAAUAACUAGCUCUGCAACAAUGUUUUACUUUUCUAUUCAUCAGCUUGUUUUUAAAAUUUUUUGAAAGGACAGAGAAUGAAAGUUGAAUUAACAAUGAAGCAAUUAAUUUAAUUGCAAAAGAAAUGACUAGGCAAAACAUAAAGUGUAAA